UCAUGUUUGUGUUAGUACUAAGGAAAUUUGACUUCUCUGAGCGUUUUGAUUUGAAACGCCUCAACUAUAGUUUUUAAUUGUUAAUUUCUGUUUAAAUUGGUAAAUGAAGUACAUCAGAAAUCACUGCAUUCCAUAGCUGUAUGAAAGUUAUCGCAAAAAGUUAUUGAGACUAUAAACUUAGAAAUAGAAAUCAACCAUGCAUUCAGUUUCCAAUUGAGAACAUACGCGUGACAACUGGUUAACAAAAUGUACGCAAUUAUUGGAAAUAUUAUAUUGUUUUUCAUUUAUUUCUACAUGAACUCUACAAACGCUUUAGGGGUAUUCGAUGUGGUCACAUACAAGUCUGCUACACUACCAUCUAAAAGUGAAAACAGAUUACUCAAUAUUUUAGUGCCGGUGGAAUCUUUACUGAUGAGAUCAGGUAACAAGACUAGCACUACUAGCACGAAGAAAGUGAAACGAGAAAUACCAAAGGAUGAUUUUACAUUAACGAAUCAUUACACAAAGGACAAGAAUCCAUCCUUUGUACUCAUGUUUAAAAGCCGACAGUUUAUAUUGAACGGUGACGAUUCCAAAAGAACUGAAGAAAAUAUUAAUUAAUACAUCGUAAUAUGACA
Non-coding RNA from Spodoptera litura, 617 nucleotides. NCBI's taxonomy places the organism in Eukaryota, Metazoa, Arthropoda, Insecta, Lepidoptera, Noctuidae. The record is from RefSeq and is a predicted model, not a curated record.